Molecule: ribosomal RNA, 491 nt
Filed under: Selenomonas sp. oral taxon 138
Lineage: Bacteria; Bacillati; Bacillota; Negativicutes; Selenomonadales; Selenomonadaceae
Description: bacterial SSU rRNA
Rfam family: Bacterial small subunit ribosomal RNA
Source: RNAcentral
GACGAACGCUGGCGGCGUGCUUAACACAUGCAAGUCGAACGGAGCGAAUGAAAGCUUGCUUUUAUGAGCUUAGUGGCAAACGGGUGAGUAACACGUAGACAACCUGCCGACAGGAUGGGGACAACAUUCCGAAAGGAAUGCUAAUACCGAAUGAAGCGGAGGAGAGGCAUCUCUCCUCCGUGAAAGAUGGCCUCUGAACAUGCUAUCACCUGUCGAUGGGUCUGCGUCUGAUUAGCUGGUUGGUGAGGUAACGGCUCACCAAGGCGACGAUCAGUAGCCGGUCUGAGAGGAUGAGGCCACAUUGGGACUGAGACACGGCCCAGACUCCUACGGGAGGCAGCAGUGGGGAAUCUUCCGCAAUGGGCGCAAGCCUGACGGAGCAACGCCGCGUGAGUGAAGAAGGUCUUCGGAUCGUAAAGCUCUGUUGACGGGGACGAACGUACGGAGUGCGAAUAGUGCUCUGUAAUGACGGUACCUAUCGAGGAAGCCAC